CAGUUCAGAUUGCAGGCUGCAACUCGCCUGCAUGAAGUCGGAAUUGCUAGUAAUCGUAGGUCAGCAUACUACGGUGAAUACGUUCCCGGGCCUUGUACACACCGCCCGUCAAACCAUGAGAGUUGGCAACACCCGAAGUCGGUAGUCUAACCGCAAGGAGGACGCCGCCGGAGGUGGGGUUGAUGAUUAGGGUUAAGUCGUAACAAGGUACC
Molecule: ribosomal RNA, 212 nt
Filed under: uncultured bacterium
Lineage: Bacteria
Description: partial 16S ribosomal RNA
Rfam family: Bacterial small subunit ribosomal RNA
Source: RNAcentral